This 775-nucleotide ribosomal RNA is filed under the name uncultured Neocallimastigales. RNAcentral describes it as "partial large subunit ribosomal RNA". It matches the Rfam family "Eukaryotic large subunit ribosomal RNA", at positions 24 to 634 of the family's 3401-position model. The record is from RNAcentral. Lineage: Eukaryota; Fungi; Neocallimastigomycota; Neocallimastigomycetes; Neocallimastigales.
UAUCUCUGUAGAGUCUGCAUAUCAAUAAGCGGAGGAAAAGAAACUAAUUAGGAUUCCCUUAGUAACGGCGAGUGAAGCGGGAAGAGCUCAAAUUUGAAAUCUUCAAGGUUUUACCUUGACGAAUUGUAGUUUAAAGAAGUGUUUUCUGUUGGUGUUUUGGUAAAAGUUCUUUGGAAUAGGACAUCAUAGAGGGUGAGAAUCCCGUAUUUGACCAUUACUUCCAGCUGUGUGAUACACUUUCAAAGAGUCGGAUUGUUUGGGAAUGCAGUCCAAAAUGGGUGGUAAAUUUCAUCUAAAGCUAAAUAUUGGCGAGAGACCGAUAGCGAACAAGUACCGUGAGGGAAAGAUGAAAAGGAACUUUGAAAAGAGAGUUAAACAGUACGUGAAAUUGUCAAAAGGGAAGCGUUUGACACCAGUGUUGUUUUCUCGAAAAUCAAUUAAAAAAAGUUGGAUUUUGUAUUGUUAAGACCUUAUCAGCUUACUGUACUCUUUUCUUGCUUUUUUUAAUGCACUUUUCGUUUAACAAGUCAACAUCAAUUUCUUUUGUUGUAAAAGAGUCAUUGGAAGGUGGCUUUCACUUCGGUGAAAGUGUUUAUAGCCUUUGGCUUCUGCAAUCGGAGAGAUUGAGGUCUGCAGCGUAGAUCCUUCGGGGCUAGAUACGUAGAUGCUAAGUUAUAGUUUUUUAUAGACAACUUGUUGACUAUAACUAAUCAUGUAGCUUACUCGUUUGCGCUAUUUUACCUACGCUUAGGAUGUUGAUCUGUAGUGCGUGCGC